CUGUGUGUGUGUUUUGUGUUAUCAGUUGUAGUAAUCCUGAUGAAUGUUAAUCCUCAGAAAAAGAAUGAGACAUAUUUACUUCUGUUUCAAAUUGUAAAAUAAUUGAAAUUUUGAUUAAAAAUCAGUCUAUAUAUAAUUUUCGUUGUAUUAAAAAACAGUUUAGAAAGAUUUGUAAAGUUUUAUGAACCAUUAUUAAACUUGCUUCUUUCUAAGGUCUAUAAGACAGUUUUAUAAACAAUGUGUCUGUUUCCAAAAAUUCCCCAAAUAUUAAGAUACUAAUAUAGAGUAUUAGUGAA
Molecule: non-coding RNA, 296 nt
Organism: Ceratotherium simum simum (southern white rhinoceros)
Lineage: Eukaryota; Metazoa; Chordata; Mammalia; Perissodactyla; Rhinocerotidae
Source: RefSeq, a predicted model, not a curated record